RNAcentral lists this long non-coding RNA (1311 nucleotides) under Homo sapiens (human). RNAcentral describes it as "HSALNT0014197". Lineage: Eukaryota; Metazoa; Chordata; Mammalia; Primates; Hominidae. The record is from RNAcentral.
CAAGAAUAUGAUACACCCUCGGUUAAUAGGGAAGGAGGCUGCCCUAAUGCAGUGGUUCCCAAACUUGAACAUUCCAAACUCCCUAGAGAGCUUGUUAAGUAACAGAUUGUUGGGGCCACCCUCGGGGUUUCUGAUUCCAUAGGUCUAAGGUGGCACUCAAUAGUUUGCGUUUAUCUCAAGUUUCCAGGUGAUACUGAAGAUGAUUGUCCUGGGACCACACUUUGAGAAUAACUGGUCAUUUUGGAGAUGGUUGGUGGACUAUAGGAAUCAAGCUGCUUCGCCCAGGGAUGAGAGGGGCAGCCUCGAAGGAUUUUUCAAAUUACAUCUGCAGCCUGUACCACGGAAUUGAGGUUUCUCUUCCCAGAAUGGUGGAACCGGAAGAAAAACGGAGCUAGUGAGCUGGGGAGGGGAUGAGAGCCCCGUCUUAAUUUCUUGCUUCCCUCACAGGUACAAGAAGCGCUGUGUACUCUCUGGCAUUGUGGGAGCUUGUGCUGACUUCCUCAUCUUGACUCAUAAAUAUAUCAGAGCCACCUCUGCCGAUUCAGAAAAACAAAUCCAACCAGCCUCUAUUUCAGACACUUCCUUAGACCCCUAGGAGAGUUAUUGUUAACUUCCCUAGACCCCUAGGAGAGUUAUUGUUUGGACGCCAGCGGCCGAACCCAUCAGACGGGCUAGGCGCGCACGUGCAGUUACCAAAAUACAGAUGUUUACUGUGGGAGGGACAGACCAUACUGGUGCAGACCUAGGACACAAAAGUGGUCAAAACUCUUUUCCUGUGUUCCCUACUUUGCUCGGUUUCCAGGCCUACUCAGUCUAAAAAGCUGAAGAGAAAAACUGACACUGCGUUGGCCGGGAAUCGAACCCGGGUCAACUGCUUGGAAGGCAGCUAUGCUCACCACUAUACCACCAACGCAUCUGAAAUACGCUUGAUUCCUUUAGAGUAUCAGAACUAAAUAAUCAGGUUUGUCUUCCCGUUUAUUUCUAGGCUAAGCAAUUUAGACUGCAGGAAAAACCUACAAGAGGAAAAUUAAAAGGAAGCUCUCUGGAAUUUCUCCUAUUAAAAAUUCUGUAGUAGUAUCUUGUUUCACAGCUUUAAGAAAAGUCAAUUCUAGUUUCCUGGACAUUUAUUCCACACAUGCGCAAAAUUACAUAUGUACAAGACCGUAUAUGACAGCAUUUUUUUUUCCAAAGAGCAAAGGGCUAGAAAUAACCUAAGUGUCUAUAAUAGGAAGCUGGCUAAACUAAUUAUGGAAAAUCCAUACAACGGAAUGCUAUGUGCCAGAAGAAAGAAUGAGGAAGUUCUUCAUGUCU